Molecule: ribosomal RNA, 459 nt
Filed under: uncultured Enterobacteriaceae bacterium
Lineage: Bacteria; Pseudomonadati; Pseudomonadota; Gammaproteobacteria; Enterobacterales; Enterobacteriaceae
Description: bacterial SSU rRNA
Rfam family: Bacterial small subunit ribosomal RNA
Source: RNAcentral
GCACAAGCGGAGGAACAUGUGGUUUAAUUCGAUGCAACGCGAAAACCUUACCCACCUUUGACAUGGCAGGAAUCCCGAAGAGAUUUGGGAGUGCUCGAAAGAGAACCUGCACACAGGUGCUGCAUGGCUGUCGUCAGCUCGUGUUGUGAAAUGUUGAGUUAAGUCCCGCAACGAGCGCAACCCUUAUCCUUUGUUGCCAGCGGUCCGGCCGGGAACUCAAAGGAGACUGCCAGUGAUAAACUGGAGGAAGGUGGGAUGACGUCAAGUCAUCAUGGCCCUUACGACCAGGGCUACACACGUGCUACAAUGGCGCAUACAAAGAGAAGCGACCUCGCGAGAGCAAGCGGACCUCAUAAAGUGCGUCGUAGUCCGGAUUGGAGUCUGCAACUCGACUCCAUGAAGUCGGAAUCGCUAGUAAUCGUGGAUCAGAAUGCCACGGUGAAUACGUUCCCGGGCCUU